This is a non-coding RNA of Cylindrotheca closterium, 72 nucleotides long. The record is from the annotation of a GenBank genome assembly. NCBI's taxonomy places the organism in Eukaryota, Bacillariophyta, Bacillariophyceae, Bacillariales, Bacillariaceae.
GGGUCUCUAGCUCAGGGGCAGAGCGACUGCUUCGCAUGCAGUAGGUCACGGGUUCGAUUCCCGUGAGAUCCA